RNAcentral lists this ribosomal RNA (182 nucleotides) under uncultured bacterium. RNAcentral describes it as "partial 16S ribosomal RNA". It matches the Rfam family "Bacterial small subunit ribosomal RNA", at positions 1319 to 1500 of the family's 1533-position model. The record is from RNAcentral.
CAUGAAGCUGGAAUCGCUAGUAAUCGCGGAUCAGAAUGCCGCGGUGAAUACGUUCCCGGGUCUUGUACACACCGCCCGUCACACCAUGGGAGUCAGUAACGCCCGAAGUCAGUGACCCAACCUUAGGGAGGGAGCUGCCGAAGGCGGGACGGAUAACUGGGGUGAAGUCGUAACAAGGUAUC